AGGACGAACGCUGGCGGCGUGCUUCACACAUGCAAGUCGAACGGGGCUCAUUCGGUGGUAACACCGGAGAAGGCCUAGUGGCGAACGGGUGCGUAACACGUGAAGAACCUGCCCCGAAGACUGGGAUAACAGCGGGAAACCGCUGCUAAUACCGGAUGACCCCACCAGGCCGCAUGGCCAGGUGAGGAAAUGGGCCUACCGCUUCGGGAGGGCUUCGCGGCCUAUCAGCUUGUUGGUGGGGUAACGGCCUACCAAGGCUACGACGGGUAGCUGGUCUGAGAGGACGACCAGCCACACUGGGACUGAGACACGGCCCAGACUCCUACGGAAGGCAGCAGUGGGGAAUCUUGCGCAAUGGGCGAAAGCCUGACGCAGCAACGCCGCGUGAGGGAUGAAGGUCUUCGGGUUGUAAACCUCUUUCGAGCAGGGACGAUUGUGACGGUACCUGCAGAGAAGCUCCGGCCAACUACGCGCCAGCAGCCGCGGU
Molecule: ribosomal RNA, 487 nt
Filed under: uncultured bacterium
Lineage: Bacteria
Description: SSU rRNA
Rfam family: Bacterial small subunit ribosomal RNA
Source: RNAcentral